GAUGAACGCUGGCGGCGUGCCUAAUACAUGCAAGUCGAACGGACAGGCGCGGAGCUUGCGGGGUUGACGUGAGCGGCGGGCGGGAGAAAAACACGUAUAUACCGCACUUGUAUGUGGGAUAUAUCCACGGGAAAGCGGCUCUAAUCGCGUAUAAUAUUCUGAUGCACAGGGGGCGAUGGUGAAAGAUGGCGGUGCUAGCACGUCUAGAUGGACCUGCGCCGUAUUAGCUAGUUGGUAAUGUCAAGGCUUAUCAAGGCAAGGAUACGUGAGCGACCUGAGAGAGUGAUCGGCCACACGAGAACUGAGCCACGGUCCAGACUACUAAGGGAGGCAGCAGUAGGGAAUCUUCCGCAAUGGGCGAAAGCCUGACGGAGCAACGCCGCGUGAGUGAUGAAGGUCUUCGGAUCGUAAAACUCUGUUAUUAGGGAAGAACAAAUGUGUAAGUAACUGUGCACGUAUUGACGGUAACUAAUCAGAAAGCCACGGCUAACUACGUG
This 497-nucleotide ribosomal RNA is filed under the name uncultured bacterium. RNAcentral's name for it is "partial 16S ribosomal RNA". It matches the Rfam family "Bacterial small subunit ribosomal RNA", at positions 28 to 507 of the family's 1533-position model. The record is from RNAcentral.